RNAcentral lists this ribosomal RNA (447 nucleotides) under Flavobacterium sp. RNAcentral's name for it is "bacterial SSU rRNA". It matches the Rfam family "Bacterial small subunit ribosomal RNA", at positions 463 to 913 of the family's 1533-position model. The record is from RNAcentral. Lineage: Bacteria; Pseudomonadati; Bacteroidota; Flavobacteriia; Flavobacteriales; Flavobacteriaceae.
GGGAGCUUGACGGUACUGUAGGAAUAAGGAUCGGCUAACUCCGUGCCAGCAGCCGCGGUAAUACGGAGGAUCCAAGCGUUAUCCGGAAUCAUUGGGUUUAAAGGGUCCGUAGGCGGUCUUAUAAGUCAGGUGGUGAAAGCCCAUCGGUCAGCGAUGGAACUGCCAUUGAUACUGUAAGACUUGAAUGCUUAGGAAGUAACUAAAAUAUGUAGUGUAGCGGUGAAAUGCUUAAAUAUUACAUGGAAUACCAAUUGCGAAGGCAGGUUACUACUAAGUGAUUGACGCUGAUGGACGAAAGCGUGGGGAGCGAACAGGAUUAGAUACCCUGGUAGUCCACGCCGUAAACGAUGGAUACUAGCUGUUCGGCGCAAGUUGAGUGGCUAAACGAAAGUGAUAAGUAUCCCACCUGGGGAGUACGCACGCAAGUGUGAAACUCAAAGGAAUUGA